Molecule: long non-coding RNA, 308 nt
Filed under: Phoenix dactylifera (date palm)
Lineage: Eukaryota; Viridiplantae; Streptophyta; Magnoliopsida; Arecales; Arecaceae
Description: long non-coding RNA (PDAC_LNC017158)
Source: RNAcentral
GUUGGGAUUGGGAGGUAACAACAAACAAGAUAAUUAAAGCACAACGGAAUCAACAACUCUCCCACCUUGUGUAAACCUGUUAGAAAACAAACAACUAGAGCCAAUCCACCUAAUAUAUAUAUAUAUCAAGGCAUUCGCAAAUACUUAGCUGAUCAGAAAAAUAAAACACAAAAGGAACACCAAAUUUUUACGUGGAAAACCUCCCCAAUGUGGAGAGUAAAAACCACGGGACCGUAGUCCACCCAAAAACUUCCACUAUCAACAAAUAAUGGGUAUACAAUCUGUUCUCUCUAGCCAAAACUAGAGGC